RNAcentral lists this long non-coding RNA (1474 nucleotides) under Homo sapiens (human). RNAcentral's name for it is "non-protein coding lnc-HOXA11-3:1". Lineage: Eukaryota; Metazoa; Chordata; Mammalia; Primates; Hominidae. The record is from RNAcentral.
GAACGGGAAUACGCCACGAAUAAAUUCAUUACUAAGGACAAACGGAGGCGGAUAUCAGCCACGACGAAUCUCUCUGAGCGGCAGGUCACAAUCUGGUUCCAGAACAGGAGGGUUAAAGAGAAAAAAGUCAUCAACAAACUGAAAACCACUAGUUAAUGGAUUAAAAAUAGAGCAAGAAGGCAACUUGAAGAAACGCUUCAGAACUCGUUGCUUUGCCCAGAUAAUGAUAAUAAUGCUUAAUAAUAAUUGAAGAAUGGGAAAGAGAAAGAGACAGAGACUGGCAUUUUCCUCUCCCGAAGGAGAUCUCUUUCUCUUUAAUGGAAUCUACAACUGUUUUAAAACUUUAAGAAAGGUAAAGACUGCCAGUUCUUCCGCCAACCCCAUCAGCCCAGCCCGUUAAAUGUCAAACGUCAACCCCCAAAAUACGCAAUUUCAGAUAAGUUACGCAGUUACUGAAAUCUUGUAAGUAUUUAAGUGAUCGUUACAUUUUAGGACACUGCGUUAGAUGGUAAUAAUCUGGAAGUUGGUUACAAACGCAAGAGGCCAUUGUAAACAUCUGCUUGUCCUUCUUAGGUCGCCAUUCCCUUUGCAUGUUAAGCGUCUGCUCAGGUAAAUCUUAGUGAAAUUCCUACCGUUGUUGUACGUUCUGCAAAACAUUUUAUGUAUAGAUUUAGAGGGGAAACGAGAAGGUACUGAAAUAAUGAUCUUGGAAUAUUUGCUGUGAAGGGAGAAAGGGAGAGAAAACUCUUCUGAGGAUCAUUUGUCUUGGUAGUAUAGUAAAACCAACCAGCUGAACCUUUCAGGCUACAAGAGAACCCGGGUCGGUAAUGUCUUUUUAAGAAUAAUUUUUAAUUGCUUAUAACAAGCAUAUUUUGUGGCAUUUGAACUAUAUUUACUGCUCCAAUAUCCGUUAUUUUCCAAAGGAUUUUGUAUCUUUUUGAAAAUGUUUACAUCAUCAGAUGAUCCACAGAAUUCACUUUAUGUGAGAUCUCCCGAGAGUUUCCAUCCCAACAUGAUGGACUUUGGUUUGAACACAAUUCGUUUUUUCAUUUGAAUUGGCAUUUCCCAAUAUUUGCUAAACAUUUGCUGGAGAAAUCAUUUUUCUUUUUUCUUUUUUAGAAAACUCAGAAUGAAAAUUCAUUCCCCUGAAAUAUUUAGGUGUCUAUAUUCUAUAUUUUGAUCUAUUAAGGGAUUAGUAUUUUUCCAUGUUUAUUGUGUUAUCAGAGUGCAUUAGAAAGAUUAGUGAUUCAUCUUCACAGCACAUUUUUAAUCAAGCAGUUAUUUCAACCAGCACAUUCGUUUUGUUCAUAUUCACUAUAGAAUGAUAUCUUGUAAAUAAAGACAUUCAGCACACUGUGAAAAUGUAUUUGUGCACCUGCUUUUUAAAUAUUUCUACUAAAAAUGAAAAAAAAAAACCCUUAGACCUGUAGAUAGUGAUAUCGUAAUAUUAAUUGUUAAUAAAAUAGUCACUGCC